This 1188-nucleotide long non-coding RNA is filed under the name Phasianus colchicus (ring-necked pheasant). Its description in RNAcentral is "lncRNA (ENSPCLG00000018895.1)". The record is from RNAcentral. Lineage: Eukaryota; Metazoa; Chordata; Aves; Galliformes; Phasianidae.
CCCCUCACAGAUGCACAGCAGGUGAGGCGAACCCCGCGGCGUGCCGGGAGGGGUCCGGAGCUGGGCCUGCAGGCUGCGGCAGGGACCUCCCCGCUGGCCACGGCGGCGGCCGGGCUGCUGGCAGCUCUAGCACCUUAUAGGGGCUCCGUGUGGGGCGGGCGGCGACAGCUCGCCGGCCGGCACGACACAGCACAGCCCUGCCCUGCCCUGCCCUGCCCUGCCCGCCGCCGCCGAACCCAAGGCCCCGCUGCGCUCCGAGCAGAGGGAAGGGCCGGCAGGGGUCGCUGCGGGGCCGGGCGCGUUCCCUCCCGGCACCGGCAGUGGUUUGAAAGCGCUCUGGCGGCGGCAGCGGAGAGGGAACGGGCGGCGGCAGCCGCCGUCGCUACCGCCCGGCCUCCUUUGUCCCCUCCCUCCCAGCGCCGAGCCGAAACCGGCGCGGAGCUGGCCUCCCGAGGAUCCGCUCCCCUCGCCACAGCAGCGCUGUCGAGGUCGCCAUCUUCACCUCCAUCCACCCCGCCCCGGAGCCUCCCGGCCGGGCUCGCAGCGCCGCGCCCCACCGCGCAGGGAGGGCGCUCGGCCGGGAGCGCGAGAGGGGGCCUGCACCCGCUGCAUGUGACGCCCCGCCGAUUGCACCCGCAUCCUCCUCGCGGUCGCCCCGCAACGCGGGGAGAGGCGCGGGGCGCCCGGCGGAGGGGUACGGAGGUUCCGAGGCGCAGCGGGAAGACAAAGGCGCGGGCGCCACCGUGGGCAGCGGUGAGUGACGUCGCGGGGGUCCGCAGAGCCCGAGCCGCCGGUGGCACGGGAAGCGGCAAGCGGGGAAGGGAAAGGCCGGGCCGGGCAGAGCGCGGGUACCGAUACCUGGCGGUGGGGCGGGACCGCUCCCUGCCCGCGCGCUGGCGCUGCAUCGGGGCCGGAAGCGACGCUCGGCCGGCGGGCCGCGGGCAGGGCGAAGCGCGCUGCUCUCUGUCGUGCUAUCGGGCAGGUGCCGCGGUGGGCGGCUGUGCGGGAUGCGGGCCUCGGGCCCGGCCUGCGGGGGGCGGGGGCGGCAGGCGGCAGCGGGCGUGGAGUGACCCGAGGGUGGUGCUGUGGAUGGACGCCCCGAGGGCCGCGGGCUGGCCGCAGAUGCAGCCUGGUAGUGCGUCCCCGGAGGAGCGGCCGCGUGGUAGCGGAGGUGCGCCUGCCUGCUGA